AUCUUAAAAAAAAUUAGAAAGCGUGAUGAUUGGGUGUUCACGCUGCCGUGUGAGAUGUGCCGCCCAUGAACCUUGUUACGCUUCUGGCACAUGACCCGUCUGACG
This 105-nucleotide small nucleolar RNA is filed under the name Myotis davidii. RNAcentral describes it as "Small nucleolar RNA U13". It matches the Rfam family "Small nucleolar RNA U13". The record is from Rfam by way of RNAcentral. Lineage: Eukaryota; Metazoa; Chordata; Mammalia; Chiroptera; Vespertilionidae.